RNAcentral lists this ribosomal RNA (468 nucleotides) under uncultured bacterium. RNAcentral's name for it is "partial 16S ribosomal RNA". It matches the Rfam family "Bacterial small subunit ribosomal RNA", at positions 28 to 507 of the family's 1533-position model. The record is from RNAcentral.
GACGAACGCUGGCGGCGUGCUUAACACAUGCAAGUCGAACGGAAAGGCCCUGCUUUUGUGGGGUGCUCGAGUGGCGAACGGGUGAGUAACACGUGAGUAACCUGCCCUUGACUUUGGGAUAACUUCAGGAAACUGGGGCUAAUACCGGAUAGGAGAUCCUGCUGCAUGGUGGGGGUUGGAAAGUUUCGGCGGUAGGGGAUGGACUCGCGGGUUAUCAGCUUGUUGGUGGGGUAGUGGCUUACCAAGGCUUUGACGGGUAGCCGGCCUGAGAGGGGGACCGGCCACAAGGGGACUGAGGUACGGACCAGACUGCAACGGGAGGCAGCGGUGGGAAAUAUUGCGCAAUAGGCGGACGCCUGAUACGGCAGCGCCGCGUGCGGGAUGACGGCCUACGGGUUGUAAACCGCUGUCGCCUGAGACGAAGCGAGAGUGACGGUAAUGGGUAAAGAAGCACCGGCUAACUACGUG